CUUAGGCCAAAAAUCAAUGGGACUUAAAUCCAAUAUCUUAUCAUCAUGGUGCAUCAGGACUCUUAACCCAAUAUCUUACCCUCUUAAUGGCAUGAGAUUUAAAUCCAUUAUCACAUCCUCGGCCAAUAACAUAUUAGGCCAAAGUAUAAUAAACUCAAACUUGAGCCUAUAACAAUAUCACCACUUUGUGAUUGUCAAUAUUCUCUUCAAACAUAAUUUGAAGAACAUGAGUUAAUAAUAUACUUAUCUUAUCAUAAAUAGUAGAAACGUGAAAUUCAAGUCGUGAUGAUCGCAUAGUGCUUGCGGUCAUUCCUUCUCUACCUUUCGAUCCAAUUUUCUUUUCUUAUCCUUCAAAUUUUGAAACGGUGGAGUCUCAUGCUGAUCAUGUGUUAUAAAAUCAAGACAAAAUAUCAAUAUCAAACUUAAAGAAAUGAGAGAACUAGAGAAUU
This 449-nucleotide long non-coding RNA is filed under the name Capsicum annuum. RNAcentral describes it as "long non-coding RNA (CANN_LNC004683)". The record is from RNAcentral. Lineage: Eukaryota; Viridiplantae; Streptophyta; Magnoliopsida; Solanales; Solanaceae.